UAGGAUUAUUAAAGGUCUUUUCCCAAUCUG
This 30-nucleotide non-coding RNA is filed under the name Mus musculus (house mouse). The record is from RNAcentral. Lineage: Eukaryota; Metazoa; Chordata; Mammalia; Rodentia; Muridae.